RNAcentral lists this long non-coding RNA (1186 nucleotides) under Homo sapiens (human). RNAcentral describes it as "long non-coding RNA NONHSAT235125". The record is from RNAcentral. Lineage: Eukaryota; Metazoa; Chordata; Mammalia; Primates; Hominidae.
AUUCCCAUUGUUGUGAAGGGGCGUGUAAGUAUAUUUGCACUCAGACAGCUUCAGAAGUGCUUGCCUGAUGAAAAGGACUCACCAAGAGCUGAAGAGUUUGGCAUCACAGUCCAAGUGGUUCCUUGUUGGCAAUGGCCAUUGUCAUCAUAAGGCUGGAUUUAACUUCAGAAGUACUGCAUGCCAUCUGGCUCCAAAGAGCAAAUCUAUUUUUAUAAUAUCAAAUUUGCAAUAAGGGAAAACUACAAACAUGCUCAGAGUUGGAUGAGCUUCCAUUUUUAACAUGACUGACUUUCACCAGUCUUCCUGGGGGCCCCAAACUGGGUGGGCUCUUUUCCUCUGCUCCAGGCCUUAUCUGUGUUAGGUUGUAUGAUUAGGAUCCUAAAGUCACUGAACAAACAGGGUAGGAGUCUCCAUAACAGACCUUUUGUUCAUAUACAUUUCACUGGCUUUCGCUGGAGAAGUCAGAGAAUGGCUAUCAUCUCCACACUAAUAAUAUCCUUCAGUAAAUGAUAAAGUCAAGUCCAAAGUAAACUGAGAAGCUUUAUCAGCAUGUCAAAGCUAUCCCCUUACAGCUCUGUACUUGCCAACUGUGCAUCCUUUUCCGAGACAAAGACUUGAUGCACAUUAAAAGGCACUUACCAGAGUGGGUGUUUGUUUGCCAAAGGAGAGCAGGCUGCCCUCUGAUUCCAGGCACCCCGGUCGUCACUCUCAUCAGAGGAAGGGAGGUAUACUUUACAGCUAGACUCCUUCCUUGAUGAUCUCCUGAAUCGAGUCAGGGGGAGAUUCAGAGCUUCCUGCCAAGUUAUUCCUUCUCUUUCUCCUUGUUAAUAUUAACUGAUGGACUUCUCAGAGGGACAGUGUAUUUCUCACUGUGAGUAGAGAGAACGCUGUGGUCGACCAGUUACUCUUCCACCCUGUUGUCAGAGAAGAUGCAUCAAAAGGGAUUUACACACCCAGUUAAUUCUAACAGAUGGCCCUUCCCCGGUAUUCUGAGAGAAGUUGAAAAUCAAUCCACAUUUCUCUCCAAUUCCAAAUUAGGCAAAUUAGCACACUGGCCUUGAUUUUUGGUAAGCAGAUUUAGCAAAAUGGACACAGUGAAAAAGAGGAAAGAUGUAAAAAAUUUAGAAAGGCCUAUCUCACUUAAAAUGCUGUGCCUCUGCCCAUACGUUUGAUAUACAAAUGAUGC